Molecule: ribosomal RNA, 1306 nt
Filed under: Burkholderia cepacia
Lineage: Bacteria; Pseudomonadati; Pseudomonadota; Betaproteobacteria; Burkholderiales; Burkholderiaceae
Description: partial 23S ribosomal RNA
Rfam family: Bacterial large subunit ribosomal RNA
Source: RNAcentral
GAAGCGAACGCGGUGAACUGAAACAUCUAAGUAACCGCAGGAAAAGAAAUCAACCGAGAUUCCCAAAGUAGUGGCGAGCGAAAUGGGAUGAGCCUUGCACUCUUUAUUUGUAUUGUUAGCCGAACGCUCUGGAAAGUGCGGCCAUAGCAGGUGAUAGCCCUGUAGGCGAAAACAGUAUGAAAGAACUAGGUGUGCGACAAGUAGGGCGGGACACGUGAAAUCCUGUCUGAAGAUGGGGGGACCAUCCUCCAAGGCUAAAUACUCGUGAUCGACCGAUAGUGAACCAGUACCGUGAGGGAAAGGCGAAAAGAACCCCGGGAGGGGAGUGAAAUAGAUCCUGAAACCGCAUGCAUACAAACAGUCGGAGCCUCGUAAGGGGUGACGGCGUACCUUUUGUAUAAUGGGUCAGCGACUUACGUUCAGUAGCAAGCUUAACCGUAUAGGGCAGGCGUAGCGAAAGCGAGUCCGAAUAGGGCGUUCAGUUGCUGGGCGUAGACCCGAAACCAGGUGAUCUAUCCAUGGCCAGGAUGAAGGUGCGGUAACACGUACUGGAGGUCCGAACCCACUAACGUUGAAAAGUUAGGGGAUGAGCUGUGGAUAGGGGUGAAAGGCUAAACAAACCUGGAAAUAGCUGGUUCUCUCCGAAAACUAUUUAGGUAGUGCCUCGUGUCUCACCUUCGGGGGUAGAGCACUGUCAUGGUUGGGGGGUCUAUUGCAGAUUACCCCGCCAUAGCAAACUCCGAAUACCGAAGAGUGCAAUCACGGGAGACAGACAUCGGGUGCUAACGUCCGGUGUCAAGAGGGAAACAACCCAGACCGCCAGCUAAGGUCCCCAAAUAUAGCUAAGUGGGAAACGAAGUGGGAAGGCUAAAACAGUCAGGAGGUUGGCUUAGAAGCAGCCACCCUUUAAAGAAAGCGUAAUAGCUCACUGAUCGAGUCGUCCUGCGCGGAAGAUGUAACGGGGCUAAGCUAUAUACCGAAGCUGCGGAUGCGUGCUUUGCACGCAUGGUAGGAGAGCGUUCCGUAAGCCUGCGAAGGUGCCUUGUAAAGGGUGCUGGAGGUAUCGGAAGUGCGAAUGCUGACAUGAGUAGCGAUAAAGGGGGUGAAAGGCCCCCUCGCCGUAAGCCCAAGGUUUCCUACGCAACGUUCAUCGGCGUAGGGUGAGUCGGCCCCUAAGGCGAGGCAGAAAUGCGUAGCUGAUGGGAAGCAGGUCAAUAUUCCUGCACCAUUGUUAGAUGCGAUGGGGGGACGGAUCGCGGAAGGUUGUCCGGGUGUUGGAAGUCCCGGUCGCUGCAUUGGAGAAGGC